RNAcentral lists this ribosomal RNA (417 nucleotides) under uncultured bacterium. Its description in RNAcentral is "bacterial SSU rRNA". It matches the Rfam family "Bacterial small subunit ribosomal RNA", at positions 355 to 786 of the family's 1533-position model. The record is from RNAcentral.
UGGGGAAUAUUGGGCAAUGGGCGAAAGCCUGACCCAGCAACGCCGCGUGAAGGAAGAAGGUCUUGGAUUGUAAACUUUUGUCCUAUGGGAAGAAGGAAGUGACGGUACCAUGGGAGGAAGCCCGGCUAACUACGUGCCAGCAGCCGCGGUAAUACGUAGGGGGCGAGCGUUGUCCGGAAUUACUGGGCGUAAAGGGCGCGCAGGCGGCCGAUCAAGUUAGAUGUGAAAUACCUGGGCUUAACCCUGGGAACUGCAUUUAAAACUGGUUGGCUAGGAGUGCAGGAGAGGGAAGCGGAAUUCCUAGUGUAGCGGUGAAAUGCGUAGAUAUUAGGAGGAACACCAGUGGCGAAGGCGGCUUUCUGGACUGUAACUGACGCUGAGGCGCGAAAGCGUGGGGAGCGAACAGGAUUAGAUACC